This 519-nucleotide ribosomal RNA is filed under the name uncultured eukaryote. RNAcentral describes it as "bacterial SSU rRNA". It matches the Rfam family "Eukaryotic small subunit ribosomal RNA", at positions 1161 to 1698 of the family's 1831-position model. The record is from RNAcentral.
AGGGCACCACCAGGAGUGGAGCCUGCGGCUUAAUUUGACUCAACACGGGAAAUCUCACCAGGCCCGGACACUGGAAGGAUUGACAGAUUGAGAGCUCUUUCUCGAUUCGGUGGGUGGUGGUGCAUGGCCGUUCUUAGUUGGUGGAGUGAUUUGUCUGGUUAAUUCCGAUAACGAACGAGACUCUGUCCUGCUAAAUAGUUCCCGCGUCCUUUGUUGCGCGGGAAAUUCUUCUUAGAGGGACUGGCGGCGUCUAGCCGCACGAGAUUGAGCAAUAACAGGUCUGUGAUGCCCUUAGAUGUCCGGGGCCGCACGCGCGCUACACUGAAGUGAUCAGCGUGCAUUCUCAACCUACUCUGCCAAGAGUGGGGAACCCAAUGAACCUUCUUCGUGAUUGGGAUAGGGGAUUGUAAUUAUUCCCCUUGAACGAGGAAUUCCCAGUAAGCGCGAGUCAUAAGCUCGCGUUGAUUACGUCCCUGCCCUUUGUACACACCGCCCGUCGCUACUACCGAUUGAAUGUUU